GAGGGUAUAGCUCAGUGGUAGAGCGCUUGCCUAGCAUACCUGAGGUCCUGGGUUCGAUCCCCGGCACUUCCU
This 72-nucleotide transfer RNA is filed under the name Camelus bactrianus (Bactrian camel). It matches the Rfam family "tRNA". Rfam says of the family: Transfer RNA (tRNA) molecules are approximately 80 nucleotides in length. Their secondary structure includes four short double-helical elements and three loops (D, anti-codon, and T loops). RNAcentral also lists the same sequence under 1 other name. Lineage: Eukaryota; Metazoa; Chordata; Mammalia; Artiodactyla; Camelidae. The record is from Rfam by way of RNAcentral.